UGAGGUAUAGCUCAAUGAUAGAGUGCUUGCCUCGCAUGUGAAAGCUCUGAGUUCAAUCUUAGUACUGCAA
This 70-nucleotide transfer RNA is filed under the name Ictidomys tridecemlineatus (thirteen-lined ground squirrel). RNAcentral's name for it is "Spermophilus tridecemlineatus (thirteen-lined ground squirrel) tRNA". It matches the Rfam family "tRNA". Rfam says of the family: Transfer RNA (tRNA) molecules are approximately 80 nucleotides in length. Their secondary structure includes four short double-helical elements and three loops (D, anti-codon, and T loops). Lineage: Eukaryota; Metazoa; Chordata; Mammalia; Rodentia; Sciuridae. The record is from Rfam by way of RNAcentral.